GACGAACGCUGGCGGCGUGCUUAACACAUGCAAGUCGAACGGAAAGGCCCUGCUUUUGUGGGGUGCUCGAGUGGCGAACGGGUGAGUAACACGUGAGUAACCUGCCCUUGACUUUGGGAUAACUUCAGGAAACUGGGGCUAAUACCGGAUAGGAGCUCCUGCUGCAUGGUGGGGGUUGGAAAGUUUCGGCGGUUGGGGAUGGACUCGCGGCUUAUCAGCUUGUUGGUGGGGUAGUGGCUUACCAAGGCUUUGACGGGUAGCCGGCCUGAGAGGGUGACCGGCCACAUUGGGACUGAGAUACGGCCCAGACUCCUACGGGAGGCAGCAGUGGGGAAUAUUACACAAUGGGCGGAAGCCUGAUGCAGCAACGCCGCGUGCGGGAUGACGGCCUUCGGGUUGUAAACCGCUUUCGCCUGCGACGAAGCGUGAGUGACGGUAAUGGGUAAAGAAGCACCGGCUAACUACGUG
Molecule: ribosomal RNA, 468 nt
Filed under: uncultured bacterium
Lineage: Bacteria
Description: partial 16S ribosomal RNA
Rfam family: Bacterial small subunit ribosomal RNA
Source: RNAcentral